UACAGAGGGUGCGAGCGUUAAUCGGAAUUACUGGGCGUAAAGCGCACGUAGGUGGCGACGUAAGUCGGGUGUGAAAGCCCCGGGCUCAACCUGGGAAUUGCAUUCGAGACUGCAUUGCUGGAGUACGGAAGAGGAGGGCGGAAUUCCCGGUGUAGCGGUGAAAUGCGUAGAUAUCGGGAGGAACAUCAGUGGCGAAGGCGGGCCUCUGGUCCGGUACUGACGCUCAAGUGCGAAAGGGUGGGGAGGAAACAGG
This 253-nucleotide ribosomal RNA is filed under the name uncultured bacterium. RNAcentral describes it as "partial 16S ribosomal RNA". It matches the Rfam family "Bacterial small subunit ribosomal RNA", at positions 524 to 776 of the family's 1533-position model. The record is from RNAcentral.